GCGGGGAUGCGCCGGCGACGGCGUGAAGCUGACACCUGAAGUUGAAGCUGACACCACCGGUCACAGUGCAGGUUCAAAUCCUGCCCCCCGCACCA
RNAcentral lists this transfer RNA (95 nucleotides) under Actinoplanes sp. SE50/110. Its description in RNAcentral is "tRNA-Und (NNN) (tRNA-Und-NNN-1-1)". Lineage: Bacteria; Bacillati; Actinomycetota; Actinomycetes; Micromonosporales; Micromonosporaceae. The record is from RNAcentral.